UACGGAGGGGGCUAGCGUUGUUCGGAAUUACUGGGCAUAAAGCGCACGUAGGCGGCUUUGCAAGUUAGAGGUGAAAGCCCGGGGCUCAACUCCGGAAUUGCCUUUAAAACUGCAUCGCUAGAAUUGUGGAGAGGUAAGUGGAAUUCCGAGUGUAGAGGUGAAAUUCGUAGAUAUUCGGAAGAACACCAGUGGCGAAGGCGACUUACUGGACACAUAUUGACGCUGAGGUGCGAAAGCGUGGGGAGCAAACAGG
Molecule: ribosomal RNA, 253 nt
Filed under: uncultured bacterium
Lineage: Bacteria
Description: partial 16S ribosomal RNA
Rfam family: Bacterial small subunit ribosomal RNA
Source: RNAcentral